CUACGGGUUGCAGCAGUGAGGAAUAUUGCACAAUGGGGGAAACCCUGAUGCAGCAACGCCGCGUGGAGGAUGACGCAUUUCGGUGUGUAAACUCCUUUUAUAUGUCAAGAAAAUGACGGUAGCAUAUGAAUAAGCACCGGCUAACUCCGUGCCAGCAGCCGCGGUAAUACGGAGGGUGCAAGCGUUACUCGGAAUCACUGGGCGUAAAGGACGCGUAGGCGGGUUGGAAAGUCAGGUGUGAAAUCCUACAGCUUAACUGUAGAACUGCACUUGAAACUUCUAAUCUAGAGUAUGGGAGGGGGAGAUGGAAUUAGUGGUGGAGGGGUAAAAUCCGUAGAUAUCACUAGGAAUACCUAAAGCGAAGGCGAUCUCCUGGAACAUUACUGACGCUAAGGCGUGAAAGCGUGGGGAGCAAACAGGAUUAGAUACCCUUGUAGUC
RNAcentral lists this ribosomal RNA (439 nucleotides) under uncultured bacterium. RNAcentral describes it as "partial 16S ribosomal RNA". It matches the Rfam family "Bacterial small subunit ribosomal RNA", at positions 339 to 795 of the family's 1533-position model. The record is from RNAcentral.